CCUAAAACAGCAAAAGAGGAGCUGGAAAUAUUUGAUUUAAACUUCAUUGGCUGGAGGAGUCUCCUCUCCAAGAACUAGGAAUUUCCUUUAUAAAAAAUUAUACCUACCGCUCAGCAGAAGAAAGAGAAUAUGACCAAGAGCUUUGAAGUUCUUGAGUAUCCUUCUCUGAAAGGCCGACCCAGAGAAGGAAGAAAGGGGGUUCCAGUUGUUGAUAUACCUCAAGAUGAGUCCGGGACAUUGGAUGUGGGAUUGAAGAGGUCAGCAUAGAAUACUACAAAUCAGAGGAAGAAAGGUAG
Molecule: long non-coding RNA, 296 nt
Organism: Canis lupus familiaris (dog)
Lineage: Eukaryota; Metazoa; Chordata; Mammalia; Carnivora; Canidae
Exons: 3
Source: RefSeq, a predicted model, not a curated record